Oxyura jamaicensis (ruddy duck) is the source of this 2578-nucleotide long non-coding RNA. RefSeq lists it as uncharacterized. The record is from RefSeq and is a predicted model, not a curated record. Lineage: Eukaryota; Metazoa; Chordata; Aves; Anseriformes; Anatidae. The transcript has 6 exons.
UCAAAAAGCCCGAUAGUCUACCUAUUGGUCGAGUUUACUAGUUUGUGGAUUUGUUCUUAUGUCAGCAGCCCUUACAGUUAAGGAUUCUUCAAGUACUUAACAGCAUAAACUGUAUGGAAUCACACUAAUUCCACAUCCCCCACCACCUCCCCAGAAAAAAAUACACUCAGUUCUGUGAUCUCUGUAAAGCAAUCACCUGAAGCUGGCAGAAAUUUUGGCCUAACGUCUUGAUAGAGAGAUAUAGAAGCAGGAGCCCUUACAUUUAUUUGAAAUAGACCAAAAGGAGGUCCUUUCAAAUAUAUAGCCUUUAAUCUGGAGGCAAAUAUAUGUCCAGUUUGUAGCCCUCAUCGCUUCUACAAUGACUAGCGUUGCUGCUAACAACAGACAUCCUCAGCACAGCUGAAAAACCUCUUGGAAAGCACAACACUGCAGAAGGGUCCUGAGGAAGGAUACGACAAUGUUCUGCGAGAUGUGGAAUCUGGUAGACUGCCUGCUUCCAGUGACAUGGGGACCCUGCAGGUGCCUCCUGAAGGCCUGGUGUGCAGCAGAGAGCUGGCUCACAUCCGGGGAGAAGGCAGCUGCUGACUACUGCCAUGUGUGCUUCCCAGGAGCUGUGCCAAACCGUGUCUCCUUACCACAGAGGCAGCCUCAGAGGCCCGCCAAGGCACUAGGUGGCUGCACAGCACGGCGCGGCUGGCAGGCAGGAUGAGGUGGUUCGCCUCAGGAAACAUCUGGGGAGCUGGUGGUCCAACCACUGAUUAUAAGUCACAUUCUGCUUCCUGAUUGAAUUGAUGCUUUAUUUGCUUCAAGUCUUGCAGGUGGCUCUUUUCUUUUGAUGGUGUUUGAGAGAAAAUGGCCAAUCAGCUCUUCUUUCAUCUGCCACCCCUUCAAUAUAGCAUUAGAUAAACGCGGUUGAGAUAGUUGAAUAUCCUCUCUGCAGAGUUCCUCCUAUAUUGUAUGAAAGUAGGCAAGUUUCUCAGGAAUGACAACUCAAUGACCAACGUCACCAUGACAAUCUGUUGUCGUGCAAGUAUUGCAUCUCAUUAAGCAGUGAAUUAAGCAACUGAUGGAAACAAUUAACAGCCUUAAAAUGUAUGAACCAGCAUAUAAACUACUGUAAAAGCAGCAUUGCACCAUUUUUGGAAGAGCAGAACUUCCUCCCUCUCCCUGCUAGUUCCACUUUACAGAAACCUAAGAAAAGACUGGUAAUACCACUAGAGAAAUAAGGGAUCCAUCUACUGAACUUGUUUCCAGAAUCAUUCUUAACAUCAUCUCCACAAAUCAUUCAGAGUCCAAACCCAUACAUGAAACUAGGAUCAGCAGCAGUGCCUGUCCUGGGCACUGCACAUCUUGAGUGGAUACUCAGUUGAGUCUCUUCCCUCACAAGCUAAUCCAAAAUAACAGUGUUUCAAAGGGCCUGGGGGAAGAAUCCCUUUUCAGAUAAUUAAUACAAAGUGUUCAAAAUAUAUAUAUAUAUAUAUAUAUAUAUAUAUAUCCCUUUUCUUUAGAAAUGCCAUCCCAUCCCCCUCCAGAAAGCAUUACUCUGACAUCUGCUACUGCUGCUACACUCUGCCUGUUAUUAUUUGUAUUAGAGCCUCUGCCCAUUCUUUUGCUUCUACAGCUGCUGCUGGUGUUUCCUCUUGGUGUUUCCUGCCUGCCUGGCCUAAAUUCCAUCUGACACCCUCUUGCCCCUCUGGCUUUCUGCCCGGCUGGUUAAGAGCUGGCAUUCAGUUGACUUGCAGUGUUCCUUUCUGCAGUAGAAACAUAAAAUAAUAUUUGGGUUUAAUUUGCUUUUUGAAGAGCUCUUCAAGAUCCUUUCAUGAAGGUAAUACAUUAUUUCUUCAUACUGACCCUUCAGUUUGAUCUUUGAUCUGCGGAGAAUCCUGUACGCGUGUGAGAAUUGUCUAUGACUGUCAGGACUGCGAAGAAACUUGCGGUAAAUUUCCUGCUUCAAAACCAUGUCAAGUUGGGCUGGCUGGGGGAAUUGUUGGAGUAGACAAUUUUGUCCUUUCUCUUCAACAGUAUCGCAGCCAAAAUGACAGCACAAUCUUCCUCUGGCAGCAUCACUGGUAUCUCUGUGGUUUAUAUCCAUUUGCAAGUUGAGUGAGAAACAAAUUGAAGAGUCCAGGCUAUGCCUGCUUGUUCUUUCACCUUGGUCUGUCUCUGUUCCUUAGGGGCUAACAGUUGUCUGGACCUUUCUGUCAACAAAGACAACAGUUACAGACUUGUAAGAGAGAAGAAGCAAGUAGCUGAAAAUGCAUUGUUAUUCCCCUUUGUCACCCUAAAUUUGUCAAAUUUAAGGCAUUUCAACAUAUAGUACUGAGUUUAAUCAUAAUAUGGAUGAGAUGGACAAGAUCUUUGGGUUUUUAGAACUGACAGAUGAACAACAGACUGCUCAAAGGUGAGGGACAUUCAUAAGUGUUCAGAGUUUAUUGCAAAAACUUACCUCCAUUCUGCUGCUCACUAAGAAGUUUUUCCAGCAUUAUUAGAUUACCUAGGAGAGCAUUCUUGUCUUCUGUACUGGAACUGGUCUCUGCCAACUGGCUGUAGGUUGGGAACCUGCUGAGCUAGACUAUUU